GACGAACGCUGGCGGCGUGCUUAACACAUGCAAGUCGAGCGGUAAGGCCCUUUCGGGGUACGACGAGCGGCGAACGGGUGGAGUAAUAACGUGGGUGGACCUCGCCCUCCAGCUCUGGGAGUAAGACCCGGGAAACCGUAGGGUCGUAAUAACUGGAUAUGACUCCAUGACGCAUGUUGUGGGGUGGAAAGCCUUGUGCGGCUGAGGAUGGGCCCGGCCGGCCUAUCAGCUUGUUGGUGGGGG
RNAcentral lists this ribosomal RNA (243 nucleotides) under uncultured bacterium. RNAcentral describes it as "partial 16S ribosomal RNA". It matches the Rfam family "Bacterial small subunit ribosomal RNA", at positions 28 to 258 of the family's 1533-position model. The record is from RNAcentral.